CGAUGAAGAUAACUUCUGUCCUCUCUGCACUUAGGGACUCAGCAUGGACCGGCAAGCUCUCUGGUUCCUGGUUGUCAGUGGCUAGACCUGGAGCAGAGAGGAAGGAAGGAAGAAGGGGUCAGAAGUCCCCAAAGCAACUGCAGACACCCACGAAAACACCACCAGUCUGAGAAGAACUUUGCAGCCCAGUGUCCUCCUGCCCACCCCUGCCCAGAUUCCUGAGCCUAUGCAGGGCUCUCAGCCGCCAGAGAAGCCCCUCGUCCUGUCCUCACAUUUGAUAGAGUGUGGGGCUGGCUGAGGUAACGUGAAGAGCAGACGGCAGACAGGAACACUGAACUGGCUGUUUGUCCACAUUUUCUUCCGAGCUUUAUGGCAAGCCAGGCGAACCACCCGAGCUGUACUUUGUACAGAAACAGGGUCAUGUCACAGUUUCGACGCAUUGGCUUGUGCUGUACCCUGAGUGGCCUCAGUCCGUGCACACCUCCUGCCUCUCAGAGCCGCCUUGCUCUCUCUAGUGGCGCUCUCUGCUGUUCUCACACCCUCCCCACCUGUCCUUAUUCACUUGUUCAGCCUCCCCCACACUGAGCAGCUUAGCUUGUAGGAUGUGGUCUGUGUAGUCCCACAAUGGCUGUCUCGAACCAGAGAGGCCAAGGAUCUGGGAGUUCUGUCUACUAGGCUCCGCAGUCCCAGUCUGGUGCUGAAGGCCUGGGGGAUUGCCGCUUGUCUUCGGCCUGUGUUGAGAUCCUGAAGAAGCAGGUUCUAAUGUUGGUGAGAGACAGCAACGGCAGCAGGCUAGAUGAACUUUCCAGUGAGAGCAUGGGCAACCCAGCAAAAAACAGCUUGCUUUUCCCUUCCCGUUAUCUGGUCACCAGGAGGUGCUGCUCGCAUUUAGGGUGAUUCUUCUUGCUUCAGAUAAUCUGAGGUCAAAAAAAUCCCACACGGGAGUGCCCAGCAACUGUGUUUUAGUUGACUCCAGAUGUAAGUCAUGUUGACAACCAAGACUUGCCACCAUGGUAAUUUAUGCCAGAAAAGGUGAGACGCUGUCAACCCUGCACUGCCUGCCAGCCAAGCAGCCUGCCCAGAGCCUUCUUGCUUAGACCCAAGCCCUGCCUACUUGCCUGAUUGCAUAUUACUUUUGAACUAUACACUUUUAAAGAAUGAGUUGUUAUGUUUCUUCUGUCUACCACAUGCCAGGCUGCGUGCUGGUUUUAGCCAGUAGACCAGUUCUCCUUCACCUCAGAGUCAACCCAGCUGACUCUAAUGGGAGAGGCAACUCCAGGUUCCUGGACAUGCAAGCUGCAUCUGAUCCAUCCUUCACAGCCUUGAUGUGUAGUUCCCAGCACAGGAUUUACACCCUCCUGCAUAUCCUUACCAGUGCAGCCUCUGUGGUAUAUAUAGAUCCUGCUCAAGCGGCCCUGGGACAUUGACUGGCAAUAAAAGAGAAGGCCCUAUAAAACACUGACACCUCCCUUUAGGGACCUCAUCUGCCAGAGAGCUCCCCAAAGAUAGCAUGAUAGAUACAACCUUACUUACAGUUUACUGCCUCUUCUGUAAAUAUGUGAUAACCUGUUUUCCAGCUCCUCCUACCUCCCACCACCCUAAACACAAACACAUGCAUGCUCAUAUAUGUACAUACAUGUGUACAUGCAUGUACAUAAAUAUGUUGGAGGAGGGUGAGGACAGAGAUGAGCAACCAUGAUGUCAUCAGCUCUGUGAUUCCCACAGGCCUGAUACAUGCUAUACACAUAGUAGGUACUCAAGCAAGUGUGUCUGGACCCAUGUAUGAAGGGACCCUGUCCAGCCUCUCUGAAGCCUCACAGACUUGGACAUGGAGCAUGGCUUUGCUCUCUGGGACAUUAGCCAGUAGCCCUCAGGAAGGUGUGGUCAUUGCCCGUGGGAGGCCUAGUCCAUACUCCCACGCUGGAGCUAGGCCAGUCAAAGGUCAGUCUUGGUCCUUAUCUGGACUCAGGUGACAUGGAAAAUUAGCAGCCUUAGCCCAGAGAGUGUUUACGUAACACCUGCUGAUUCACGGUUGAAGUAAAGAUCGGUACAAACCAUGGAAAGUAAGAGACUGGCUGGGCUGGGCCUCGAGGCAGUGGGAGUGAGACCCAGCAGUCCUGGGAGGCUGGCGCUCCUUCCUCAUCCUUCUGGACUCAGCACUCUGGGGGAGGCAGGAAGCUCUCAGCUUGCAUUCCCUACAAGAGUCUCCCUGUUGGCUCUUAGGAAGCCUCUGAAAGAGUCAACCAUACCUCACACCCCACAUCCUAAUCACAGCUGCUUCACCUGACUCACUAUUUGAACCUGUCUUCCCGUUGGUUCGUCACUUCAGGAAAUGCAUCUGUGAAGUCCCCUCCAGUUGCCACAAAAUAUUCACGUUAGAAAGCAUCUUGGCCUGAGGGUACCCUAAAUCCUCCUGAAAAGCUGGAACUGACACUUCUGUGGUGGCCUCCAUAGGAAGCUGAAAUCUUUGUUUAUCAAGCGUGCUGCCCAGGUCCCAGGAUUCUUGAUCGUCCAAGGCCAAGACCGUCCUCCGACUUCACACUCUCACCAUCCACAGCUCCUUCCCAUGCUAUGAUGUCAUCACAGUGGGAGCCAUGAUGUCAUCACAGUGGGAGCCAUGAUGUCAUCACAGUGGGAGCCAUGAUGUCAUCACAGUGGGAGCCAUGAGGUCAUCACAGUGGGAGCCAUGAGGUCAUCACAGUGGGAGCCAUGAGGUCAUCACAGUGGGAGCCCAGAUGCUCUGAUGCUCAUCUCUCUCAGGUGCCUCUGCUUGGAGAGGUACUAUGGCUUUGUUCUAGUCGCUAUGGCACUGGCUAGGGACCACAAUCAGGGUGAAAACCACAGCAUAAUGAAACCUUACAGUAGACCAAGAUCCCUUCCCAGGAGGACUGAAGGUAUGGGGGCCCGGCUGCUUGUUCCUGGCCUCCUUGAAGCUGGGCAGGUAGCCCUGACUUUAAGGUAGCCUUUGGUUUGCUCUGCACACAAAUGCCAGGUGGACUGGGAUUGGCUAUCAGAGAAAAUGCCUAGCAUUGAGCUGUCCCUUGGGACACUUCCCAGCUCUCAAAUCUGUUUCUGAAAUUAGAUAGCUAUCCCCUCUUUCUCUCCCGUAGCCUAACUUUGCCUCUCUUGGUGACUCAGUUAGAAAUGGAUUUAGGAGCAGCCCAGCCAAGGGGGCAUAAGAAACACAUCAGUCCAGCAGUCUUUCCCUCUCUGAGCCCUGGGUCCUUCAUACAGAGGAGUUUUGUCUUCACCAGAACUCCAGGCAACAUUAUGGUCUAUGCCUCUCUUCUCUGGGUAUUUGGGAUUCUGUGUGAGAAUCACAGGUGGAUAUUGUCUUUCCACCAGGUCAGACACAUCCCCGGGACUCUAAGAGCCCUGCGUUCAAGCUCACCCUCCAGUGUGCAUAUUCCGCUGUUUGUUCCUUGUCAGGGACAAGACCAGCCCUGGCCACCUGAGAGUCUAGCCCGAGCUCAGCACAGAGAGUGUCCCCUGGAUCCUGGAUACAGAUGUCAGUGAUCAGGCAGGCCCUCUAGAUUCUGAGAGCCGGCACACCCAGCAGACCACUGGGCCAAGUGACUCCAGUCCAGCCUGUGGCCAUGUCCACCUCUAGUGCCAUGUACUUCCCUUUCUGAGAAAGGGCAGAAAAACAGGGAAGCAAUGGGGACUUGGGAAAGAAAAGGAUGAUUGAGAACUCUGGCAUGGUUAACAUUUUUUUGAAAGGUUACUUAUAUAGAGUCUAUAUUCCUUUAUAUAAAAUAUUUCCAAGUAAAAAAUGUUAAAAUGACUGGCUGUGGCAGUGGUACACAGUUUUAAUCUCAAUAGUUGGGACAAAGAAGCUGGCAGAUCUCUGUAAGUUCAAAGCCAAUUUGGUUUACAUAACAAGGUCUAAGCCAGCCAAGGCUACACAGGGAGACCCUGCUUCCUAAAAACAAACAAAACCCCAAAACAAAACAACAAAACAAAAACUUAAAAUAGCAAUGAACAUGCCCAAGGCCUGAGCUAAAUAUGUCUUUGGUGUAACUACCUGAUACUUUCCAGGACUCAAACACAGAAGACUGUUGCCUUCUGUUUCCACUCACGGCACACGCUACCUUCCCGAACCUGUGAUGCAGGAGUUACCUGUCCAGUGUCCCUCAGAAACACCAUUGCAAUCUCAUUUAAAUUUGUUUGUUCUUCAAGUCAAGGUUUCUCUGUGCAGUCCCGGCUAUCCUGGAACUCACCCUGUAGACCAGGCUGUUGAACUCACAGAUAUCCACCUGCCUCUGCCUCCCAAGAACUAGGACCACAGCCAGCAUCAUUGAGUUAAGAGGAUGACUUGUAUUUUUACUUUUGGUUUAUGAGUGUUUUGCCUGCAUGUUUGUGCACCACACACAAGCCUGAAGGCCUCAGAGGGCAGAAAAGAAAGGAGAACUUGGAACUGGACUUAUGGACAGUUGGGAGCAGCUGUGUGUGUGUCUUAGGAACCGAGUCUGCAUCUGUAAGUACUCUUAACCUCUGAGCUACUGAUCUAGUCCCAGCAUUUAAAUUUCUCAAUAAGUCUUUGAAGGCAAUCCCUUCAAAACACACCAAAUUCCUAUGCAUGCCUAUUUGAAAUACAACAAAGUAUUUAAGUUUCCUUUGAGAGUGGAACACCACCAGCUACUCCUUGGCCUCUUACCCUUAGGGGAUGGCACGUGACUCUUGGGUGCAUCUUACUCUUUUCUUGAAAUUCUUUCUUUAUAUUAACCCCUGUCUUUGAAUCAGUCUAUGUUUAAAAUGUCUUUUAAGGGAUGGUGAGGUAAAUUUAGGUAGCUGCCUCAAAAUUAUGAAUGUCAGGGAUCUACCCCCAGAAACCUCGUAAAGGCCUAAAGAGAAGACAGACUCCAUGAAGUUGCUCUCUGACCUCCACAUCGUGUACACAUAUAUACAUGCGCACACCUACACACGUAGCCAUGCCCACGCCCACACAUAUUCUUACACACACACAAUUUUAAUGUCUUUUUUCUGGGUGUAGUUGCACCUGGCUUUAAUCCCAGCACCGUGGAGGAACAGGCACCAGAAAAAUAUCAAAGAAAGAGAGGGCCAGCUGCCAAGCAGCUGAAAGCCCUUGAUGCCAAGUCUAACCUCUGAGUUUGGUCCUCGGGACUGCGUAGCAGAAGAAGACAAACUUGAAGUUUGACUCUCCACAGCUAGUGUGGCUCUGACUUUUCUCCAAAGUCCUAACUGCUCCACGCCUAACAUGAGAGUUAGGAAGAGAGCCUUCUUCUUCCAGCGGACUAGGGUCACAUGCCACCCUGGUGAGGGUGAGAUCUGCAAGGGGGAGAAGUUAGUAUUGUUCCUCUUUCAGGUCUCUGCUUUGUCUGUGGCCCCAGACCCCGGCCACCUUGGCUCUCGGGCCCUGGGAACCUCUGGAGUUCUUCCCGCUGUAGCAGGACCUCUUCACCUACAUCAGCAGAAUGACCAGAAGCAUGAGGAGCCUGUGUCCACCUCGUUGGUGUCUGUGUCCUUUCUGCUCCAGUUCAUGCACAGCUCUGCACAUAAGUAUGGUAGUUACUCAAGGAGCAUCUUCCCAACCUCCCCGAACGCCUCACGGCUGAAGAAACAAAGACGGGAGUCUCUGAAGCAUCUGCUGGCUUCACAGUGUCUUGUUCCAUAUCCCCCCAAAAUGCAUGAAAAGUCUCUAGUCUUAAUUUGCAGUGACCCGGGGUGUGUGUGUGUGUGGGGGGGGUCAGAAUAACAUUCGCACAGAUCCUUUAACCCAGUCACCUCUUGGGAACCCCAUUAUCCCUCAGGAAGGACUCCUUGGUGGCACCCUACUCAAUCAGAACUGAGACAGUGACCAACCAGCUACAUUGUGACCAGGACUUCUAAUGAUCUAGACCCUUCUGACUCCUCGUCUUAAACCCAAAGCUCAUGUUAGUACCUGAAAGAUGGGUUGACAGAUUUUGUUACCACUCUUGCCCAAGGACUGCAUUGGGUAAGUUCCUUUCCUGCAUUUUUAUUUGCUUUCUUAGGGGUGUCAGCAGAACCCACAUUUUGGAGCCCUCAGAUUUGGAUCUCUGUUUCAGGGCUCAGGUUACAUAGCCAGCAUGGUCUGUCACCUUUCUGACGCUCCCUUCCCAGUGCCUUUGCUGACUCUCCGGAUGGGUCUGAUGCCCUGGCCUGUGCCUACCAGGUGUGAGUGCUGGGCCACGGAGGAAGCAGCUCUGAUCCUGUCUCGCACAGCACAGUGGCCUCCAGCUCAGCAUCAACCUGGGAGUUGCAUGCAUGGAGCCUCCAGGAUUUUGGAGAAGAAAGUCACAAGAAGAACCUUCAACCCCACAAGCAGAAGUUGGCCUCUACUCACAUUAAGAUGAGACCCAAACAACGGGACCCACAGGGUCCCUGACCGAGCAUAACAUAGACUCCUGAUUCCCUGAGUGGCCAGCCUCAGAAGUUGACACAUUGGCCGCAGCUUACCUGUGUGCACCAACUCCCUCCCCUGUAGGCCUGGGCACUGACCCACGGUCAGAUGACAAGAAAGCGUUCUAUUUUCUUCUUCCUACUUAGUACACACCAAAGCACCCAGCUGCAGCCUCGGCUAUCUCCUGGAGCUUACUGUGAGGCGCCUGGAGAGACACAGAUCUCUGCUUCCAAUGUCCAGGGCGCCUGGACACUCCCUCAGCCUCACCUUUACUCAGGACAAAUCCUCAAGACGGAGGCAUCCAGUGAAGAGAGGGUCCCAGGGAGGCUGCAGCCAGGGACAUCCUGCCUUGAGCUUUCACCCCACAGGCUUUAGAAUCCCAACACUCUGGGUGCCGCGUCCCCUCAAGUCUCACCUGUGUGGGUGCUCCAGCUUCGUACCUGCUCCUCAGGCAGUGAACUCUGGUGUAGCCCUUACUGAGCUCAUCCUGACCUGAGGGCGUGGCUGAGAGGAGGCGGUCCAAGUACCACCCACUUUCAUACACAACAGACGCAUUAAUCGAGGAAGAAAGCAAACUCUGGGAAACAGUGUCACUUUCAGGAACUACCCUGAGUACACAGGACAGUGACGCCUUCAUUAAAAUAUUUUAAUUGGAAGCGGCUUUUAGCCGCUUGUCUUAAGAACACAGGAAGAAAGUCUAGGCUUUUUCCUAGAAAAGUCCUGGCUGAGGUCAAUGUUUGAUUCAGGGCACAGGGGCUGCUCAUUUAGGGGAACUUGUUUCCCUGCAUGGGACAUCACAGGCAAGAUUACUCUGGGCCAUCAUGCAGGGAAAGGCAGGAGCUUUAGAAUCGACCUAAGGAAGGCAGGAGCCUAGUGCCCACAGUGGACACAGUCUGUGGGUUCCAUGUUCACAGGGUUCCCAGAUACCCCUUGUGCCAACACAUGUUAGAAAGAGGGUCAGAUAACCACGAUCCCACUAUUGUAUCCUUCCCGGCAAGGCUUUGGCUACCAGACCAGAGGUAGGUGGGGGUCCUCCGUAUGGUGGGGCAAGAAUGUCCCUUGAUAAGGAAUCUUGAAGGGCAGCUGAAGGUUCUCAGUGUCUCACCCACACUGUGAAAGUGAAACUAGAUUGUUUGUUUUGAAACUACAACGCUCGGACAAGAACAUUACGGUCUUCCCCAGUGACAGUCCCAACUCUAAUGCGAUACAUGCUUAGCGUACAUCUGGAGAGUCUGUGUGUAAAAAACACCUACCCUGGUGUGAAUGCAGUCCUGCUGCUUGUGUCCUGCUCCACUAGGAGUCACCUUCUGUGCAUUCUCUGAUCAGAAACUCCUCUGCCAGGAGUUGUGACAUCUCUUGACUCAUCCAUAGAUUUUUUUCAGAUUUAUGCUCCAAGGUCACUUUCAAUUUACUCAGCAGGAUCUGCUGAGGAUUUAGGAGUGCUGGGUAUCUAUUUCCUGUUGUCCUCCAUGGCUUGAUCCUGUUUUUAAUCUCUCUCUCUCUCUCUCUCUCUCUCUCUCUGUCUCUCUCUCUUCCUAGCUCCCUCCCCUUCCCUCCCUCUCCCCCCUCUCUCUUCCUAGCUCCCUCCCUCCUUCCCUCCCUCUCCCCUCUCUCUCUCUCUCUCUCUCUCUGUGUGUGUGUGUGUGUGUAUGUCCUACCUUAGGUGCUAUCCACAUUUUUGAAACAGGGUCUUUCGUUGGCCUGGGUUUCAUCAGGUAUACUAAUGAGUCUGCGAGAUCACUACCUUCUCAGUGCUGGGAUUAUAACUGUGCACAUCAUACUUGGCUUUUAAUUUUUUUUUAACAUGGAUUCUGGGAAUCAAACUUGGGUCCUCAUUUUUGCAAAGCUGACACUUUACCAACUGAGACAUCUCUUCAAUCCAUCCUUUUGUCUUCCAUGCAUUUGGGGUUUGCAUGCACGACUUCAUGGUCUCACACACAGUGUCAUCUGUAGAUAUGGCUCAUGUCCUUGGGCCAUGUGUGUGCUCUCUUCUCGGGAAGCUGAGUUUUACCUGUGUCUCCAUAUCCAGGCAGCCGAUACCGUGGGUUACUCACUACCUAUUUGGACUGACUUGAGCCAACAGUGACAGGGAGGGGGAAGGGGAAAUGGAAUGAGUUGGGUGUUAGUGAAGCCUUGGGGAUGGAGCAGGAAGAAAGAUGUGCAUAUGGCGGGGGCAGGGGUCAGAUUGCAGUUUAGGUUUCUGUUGUCAGGAGCUUGGUCUUGAAGGUCAUUUUCCUUUGGGGUCUGAAUCGUGUCCUCACAUCUGUAAAAUAUCACCUGAGGUAAAACACUAGCUUGAUUGAGAAGACCUGGUUUUGGCCCUGAAGAAGAGAGACUCAGGCUGUGACUAACCUGGAAGCACAACAGAGGCAGUUUAUCUGGACCAAUGGACAGCCAGGAAGACACCACAGAGUGGUUCUUCUCCUAGGGUGCAAGUGACAGGUUUGUGUCCAAACCCAGAAUCAAAGACCCUGCAGACCCUGACCCCCCAGGACAGCAGGUAGAGCAUGCACUGUCCUGGAGUCUCCUGUGAGCUUCUCAUGCUAAUGACAGAGUCGAUGUGCAUCACUGCGCGAGGUGAUCUCCUGUGCACACGCAAACCAUGCACAUCAUACAGGGACGCAUGGCCCAGAGCACGUUCCUGCUGGAGCGGCAGAAUUGUUCCCUGUGCUGGUGGUGGGUCUGAGGUCCCAUGACACAGAUAGCAGUACAGUGUAGGUGCAGACGAGUCUCUUGGGACUAGCUUCCUAUUCUAUGAAGACAAACCUGUUCGAGGGCAGACAGCAUCUGUCCAGGUGUCCUUUGAAGGUUCCUACAAGAAUUCUCUGCCCUGAAGGACUUCUGUCUUUGACCUUGACAGAGAACCGGGACAGGGAGCACAGUGGAACUGGCAUUCACUCAAUCCUCGACAAACAAAACCUAAAGAGACAGAAGCCAUGGGGACCAGAACAGUUAGAGAAGCCUCUGACUCAGUUUCCCUCUGGGAUUCCUGUAGCUGCAGGGGACGAGGGACUUCGUGGACCUGGAAGUCUCCCCCUUUCAGUAGAGGUUCAAAUAAUGGCUUUUAAUGUAGCUUCAUGCGUCAGCAUUUGUGACUGGUUUAGAAAACUCAUGACAAGCUUCAAGGGCCCUGAGCUGCUAAGUGAGAGGAGACCCAGGAGCUGAGGGGCUGCAACAAGACCUGUGGCCGUUAUCAUUUGAUUUGAUUACAUUUAGAAUGAAUCACUUCUCCAUAUGUCUAUGGCAGUAUUCCCAGAAGUUUAACUGAGGAGGAUGUGGGUAGCAUCACUCUAGGGGCUGGGAUUGGAAUUCCAGAUUGAACAGCAAGCCUUUAAUCCCAGCACUUAGGAGGCAGAGGCAGUUGGAUCUCUGUGAAUUCAAGGCCAGCCUGAUACACUGUGAGUUCCAGGACGCCAGGGUUACACAGAGAAACCCUGUCUUGAAAAAAUGGAAAAAGAAAAGAGACAGCAAACUGGGCACCAGCAGUGGGUUUUUCUGUCUCCUGAGGGAACACAAUGUUUUUCAGCUGCUUCAAGGUUUUGCAACCAUGCCUUCCCCACAGAUAGACUGUGUCCUCAAACUGAGACAAAAUAGCCGUUUCUUCCCUAAACUGCAUGUUUCAAUUAUUUUGUUUCAACAAUAAAAGUAAUUGACAUGGU
Molecule: long non-coding RNA, 10041 nt
Organism: Apodemus sylvaticus (European woodmouse)
Lineage: Eukaryota; Metazoa; Chordata; Mammalia; Rodentia; Muridae
Exons: 2
Source: RefSeq, a predicted model, not a curated record